This is a long non-coding RNA of Musa acuminata AAA Group (dessert banana), 2306 nucleotides long. RefSeq lists it as uncharacterized. NCBI's taxonomy places the organism in Eukaryota, Viridiplantae, Streptophyta, Magnoliopsida, Zingiberales, Musaceae. The record is from RefSeq and is a predicted model, not a curated record. The transcript has 2 exons.
CCCUUCCUUUCUCCCCUUUCGCCAGGUCACGUCUCCAUCUAGGUCACUGCAAUCUAGUCUUGCUACUUGCUCAUUCAUGGCUUGUCCAUGGACUACAACACCUCAUUAGUAGUCGCUAAGGGCAUGUGGUAGAGCAGUCUGAUAGAAAAGGAUCCAGCGGAUCAGAUGAUCAUUACGGGACCAGGUGGGGGACCUUCCUCUCUCUCUCUCUCUCUCUCUCUCUCUCUCUCUAUUAGCAAUUGCCUACGUCUUCAUGUGCGUAUCAGGAAAAGGUGGCUAGCCCAUCCUGUUUUGCUCGCUUUGUUGCUCAUGGAUGUAGGCGGUAUAGAAACAUCCAACUCCUAGGCAUGGGUGCAGCUGUGGAACGAUUGAGAGCUCACUCCAAGUUCUACUGACGCCUUUGUUGGGAGUAAAUACAAAGCUACUGGCCCUCGACCUUAAAAGCUGCGGCUCAACUCCAUAAUCCCAGGAAUGCAGAGCUGGGUGGUAAGAAACAAAGAGCAGCGGUAGGGCACGCACCAUCAGAUGAGAGCCAUACCCUCGCCGCCUUCAUCAUCUAUCUAUCUAUCUAUCCCUCGCACUUCAGAGCCCAAAGCCCCACCAUGUGCCCAGCCGGCCACCUUCACGUGCCUGCACGCGUCUCCCCGGCGCCCUGCCCCAUAUUUUAACACCCCCUACCCCCGCCAAAAUGAAGCAACCUAGGAAUUCCAUCCCCGGCACCCCAACUCAGUUGACGGGAUGAUGAUUGUGUUGUUAAUAGUGUCUAUCGUCACCUUGUUUUUCUCUGCUGUCAUUACCGAGUUGUGUGUGUAUGAGACCGGCACACAUGAGAUUCCCUGCUGCCUGGCAUUCUGCUCUCCCUCAAGCCCACAUGGUGGGCUUCUCGGGAGACGGGCAGAUCGGUCCGGUGGUACUCUUGACCGGUUGGAUGCAUUGCGUUAAGCCUCGCAUGAAGCUGGCACUUGCCAUCGGUUCCCUGUCAUGUUGGCGUUCCUGGAGCAGGAGUGGGCUGUCCGCAGGUGUAUCGGUUCCCCAACUCCAGCAUAACCCGGAGCGAAGGAUGUAUCAGGCUGGCGAUGAGGAUUACAGAGCAAGUCCUUCGUUGAACCCUUGGUUCGUUAGGUGGGGAAGCUGUCAGUGGAACCAGUAGAAGGUGAUCAAACGCAAGAAGACAAGACAGUGGAGAUCUGAGCAGCCUUUUAAUGAACGAGUUGGGAAUCAUGUGCAUGGCGGUUCUCCGGGGAUCAAUCCUUGUGCACGACCAUUAGUACCUUCAACCUCUGCAUUAUUAACUCUGCUUUUGCUUCUCUUCAGCUUAAUUUUCUGCAUUUCAUCCAUCGCAUGUGACUGUGGCAGCACCAGAUCAUUACAGCCAAUUCCAUUAUAGGAGAAAGACGAGACGGAUCAUGGAGACAACCCCCCCCACAGUCAUUCUUUGCAACUCAUCUCCUUCCCUUUAAGCGCAAGUAAGCAGUAAUCAAUUGCAGUGUCACAGAAGACAGUCAAGUUUACCUUGAUAGAUGAAUCUACCUUGUUAUCUUCAUCAGAUUUUUAGAUGGGAAUUCAGUUUGACCUUGAGGUGGGAGCAGGCUACUUUUCCUGCACUUUGUGAGUCAAAAGUUGAGCUCCAAAAUAAAUGUUAGGUUGUCACCUAACAUUGAUGCAGGAGGCCAUUGCCCUGAUCACAUGGAGUCCAUGGCCACCUCAAUCAUACACCAAGGGAGUUUCUUCAACAUUCCCUGCAUCAACUCUCAUCACUCCCUGCCCAAGUUUUACCCAGAGGAACUCGUUUUACUGAUUGUUCAACUGCUCAGAUCGUGAUAAGCUCUAUGCACUGUUAAUAUAUGAUGAUGCAACUACUGUUCCUCGCGAAGCCUUCUCUGUCAGAGACUUAGGUGAUGGUUUGAUCAGCCUAGUGAAAUGUAAAUUAACCUUCAACCAUCACAUCGCCUGUCUCAUGUGGUGGAGCCAACUUCAAUGCACCUUCCAAGAAGGAUGUCAUUCCCUUGCUCACCUGACAUGAAGUAGUAUAUCGAUUUAAGCAAUGUAAUUUAGCUUGAUUGCAGGCACAAUCAUAAUGCUUUUGAUGGAAGGAAGUGCAUUGUUUUUCCCCAUCAUUCACCAGCACCAUGGAAUCUCUGAAGCCUUCAUCUUCGGUUCUCAAUACGCAAGACUUGUUUAUGGAGAUAAAGAGGAACAAGAUGGUCGCUUAAUCUUAACACAAGUCUUUGAGAAGCUUAAUGUUGAGGUCAAUACCUUUGUUUCCAGACCAAAACCAUUGGCAAAAGUUCAAUGAUUGUUCCUUC